UGUUUACAUGUUCUCACCUCCCCCACUAUUUUUCAGGUAUUGCAGGCGUUGAGUUUUGGGACGAGACGUGAGGUACGUUCGUAGCGGUCGAUAGAGCUUCCGACCCAGAUUAUCGGUUUAGUUUUAUCCCUACUAUUCUGUGUUAUAGCUUAGUCAGUUUAUAUGGUUCAGUAUUUUUAUUACAUUGGAAUAUGUGGACUUUCAUGAAUGUAAUAAAAGGAUUUCGGGAUUUGGUAAAAUAAAAGGUUUUCUACCCCUCGUGGUAGCUUGUAUAAAAGAUAAAAGUUUUCGCAUAUGGAACAGUUUUCAAAAGAUUUUUCGUGGACUUUUGUUUAAACAUCGAAUGUAAAACUAUGGUGUGAAUGGUGAAUGUAUGAAUGUAUAGCUAUCUGUAUAUUCAUUUAGUUGUGGUUGUAUACUGUUUGUACUCUUGUACUUGUGCGACGCCGUGCAAAUAUAGGGGAGACUCUGUCCGUGUGAACAGUGGAUUUCCUGUAUUUGUGGCGGAUCUGGCAUACUCUAGGGUCAGGUUUUCAAAAAAAAAAAAAAAAAAAAAUUAAACGCUUUUCCCCUGUGUUUCAAACAAAAAAGGGACCCCGGGGCGUGACAAUUUUCGACUUUCCAAAAUGUUCUUGGCAGCGGAUAUGGAUUUUCCUACCCUCUAGUUUUGGUUACAACAGUAACAUGUUCUCUUUUUCAUUAACAAAAUGGAUUUCCUAAUGUCCUGAUAGCAAAUAAGAUGCUAGAGUUUGAGAUACUAUAGACUUCUAAGAAGUUUCCUUCUGCCAGAUUUUGUAGGAAACUUGAUUUGUUUGUUCUAUCAUUUUUUGUGAAUUGGAUGACUUAGUCUAUUAUGCAAACAACAAACUGUUCUGUGUUACUAUGAUCGCCGCCUUAAUACUUUGUUGACAUGUUGAUAGGGUAGGCAAUAAAGAAGUCCCACCUUCCAAAUUAGAAUAUAUAGUAAUAAAACAUAAAUUUUAAGUAUUUAUAAAUUAUUUAAAAAAAAUGUUUGUAAAUAUCAAAAGAAACUUGUCAAAUAGCUUUGCAAAAUCAUUUAAGAGAAAUGUUUUAUAUCCAAAACUCAACAAUACAAACUCCUAUGAAAAUAAAAAUUAGUUCAUACUGGUUAAGAAAAUAAAAAGUAGUUCAUAGCAGAAUAUAUAUAUCAAACUACUAACAGGACUACCUAUAUAUUUUAAAGUUUUAAUUAAAAAAGCAACCAAAAAUAUGACAAACAUAUGGUUUGAAACAAUUUAGAAGGACGACAAAUUUUAUUUUAUUUUUUUGAAAUACUGGAUUUAUUAUCAGCAGCCUAGACAAAGGCCAACAAAGGACAAAGUCAAAAAUAAAAAGUACAGAAAUGCUGUGGAUGAACAAAACAAUUGAUUGUAUAUACAUGCAAAAGAAACUUGAAAGUCUAAUUAACUCCUUAAUCGAACUAUACCCAAAAACUGAAUAGUAAUAUUAUAUAAAUUAUUUAUCAAACUUUUAUAUAUAUGAUCAAAUCUAGAUGACAUAUUAACACAUUUUUUAAUAUUCUGUACUUAUGAUCAAAAUUUUUGUGUGUAACUUUCAUAAUAAUUCAAUUUAGAUUCUUAAAUUAUGAAUUAAUUCAUCAGAAAGUGUAAGGACUGAGAUUUUUUACAGUGCUACUAAACUCUCUGUUGACGAUGUUUAUGUGUGUAAUUUAAUUACAUAAGCACUCGUCAAGUUUCAGGAGAAACUGAGCUAAAACGGAGAAGUUACGCGAUUAUUAGUUUUCACUUAAGUGAAUAGUAACUCCGGUUUUUCGGUGGAGUCACGGAGUAGAGCUGGCUAUCGGCGCGUAUCGGACUCCGUUCAUAGCGGUCCAAUAGCUCGUUUCGAUCGGAUCAGCUAUUCUGGAACCAAUGGCACUGACGGAUUUCAGAUCCGAUGCACGAUUUUCGAGAAAAAGGAGUUUUAUCAAAAGAGGGUUUUCGUUCUUUGCUAUUCUUGCAUUAUGACACCCCCUCGUGAUCUGUGUAUGUGACCUAGAGUAAGGUGAGGGAUGUUACAUGUACCUACUAGUGGUAGGAGAUUCAAAUUUGAAUUUGAAUUAAAGGAUUUAGCGGGAUUACACAUUGAUAUAUGUGUGUGGUUUUGAAAUUGGAGAGCGGACAGAUUUCGUCNUCACUCCACUCGUGACACUAGUCGUGACUGGGUGCUAGUGGCACGAGUGGAGGCCUCCGUAGUCCUGUCGGAGUCUAGCGGCCUAUUCGCACGCGUUUGGGUUUUUGUUGUCGGUUUGUCCGAGCUGUCCCAGCUGUGGUGGCUUUGUAGCCUUGCCCCGGAAGGGCUGUUUUUGGUUCCACUCGUGCUACUAGUCUUUACUCAGUGCUAGUAGCACGAGGGAAGGCAUAACUAGUCCCUCCGAGCUCUUCGAGUCUUGUGUUUGGGUAGGAUUUGAUUCGGGAUAAAGCCCGAACCGGCCUCGUUCCAACGAGGCCGGCCGAAGGCCGUCGUGCCGCCGUACGCGCCGCCGGUCCCUGCCCACGCCCCCUCCACUCCUCAUGGCACGAGUGGAGCCAACCACCGAGCUUCGCCGCCGCCGCCGCCGCCUCGUUUGGCUUGGGCAUGGCCGAACUCGAACCCGAGGUUCCCGUUACCGCCGGUGCCGCCGGCUGCCCUCCGAGUCCCCGCUGCCUCCUGCUGCUUUCUCCCAGCCCCGCGCUUAGCAGGCCGCCGCUUUCCGCCGCCCCUGCUGCCCGUAACUACGGGAUCGGAGCCGGUAGGCUCUUCUAUGGUCCAGCCCAGGCCGGUCGACUCCUGAGGCCGCCGUCCCCGCGGCCACCUCCGACUCACGCCGGCCGGUCCCACCAGGCCGCGAGUGCGGCAGGCCGCCGCCUUCCGUCACGGCCGCCGCGACUCUGUUGAGCUCGAGGGUGCCGAGCUCGAGUCGGAGUCCUUCGUCGCCGCCGGUACCGCUGCCAGCCCCUUCGAGGCCCACUGACGCCGUGGAGCGGCCUCUACCUCCUUCCCGCUUAGCCGGCUGCCCCUUGCCGCCGCCGCGCGCCUCCGUCUCGAUCGGGGCCGAGCCGGUCGUGAACCAGUUCCGCCGGCGUCUCUCUCUCUCGCCGCCGGCCGCCGCUGCCCUCGCCGCCGCUACCGCGCGCCCCCGUGCGGCCUCCGGUCGACUCCCGCCGCCCUGGCUCCCACCCGCCGCCGCUGCGCGCCUCCGUUUCUAGUGGGUCCGAGCCGGACCCACUGAUAUCCAACCGGCGUCCCUCGUUCCACCGAGGCCGCCGCAGCCGCCGCGCGCGGCUGCCGCCCCCGGCCGCUCCCAGCCGCGGCCUCCAUCGAGAGACGGUGUCCCACUUCCUAGGAGCCCCGAAACGCGCAAAGGGACACAUGAGUCCGGCUCUCCCACCUCUCCUCCUACUGGUACUCAAAAGGCCGCCGGCCUCAACGAGCGGCCUCCAGACCCGUGCUCGCGUCCAUCUCGUCCCUGGAUGACCCCGAUAGAUCCCGUGCCAACCCCUUGAUCCAGCCGAUCUAGAUCCCAAGGAACGUUUUCUUGGGAUCUACGUGUAACAUACGUUACACGUUUAACGUGUUUUCAGGUGGACUUGAUGUUUAAAGUUGGGAUCAGGGAGUGUUACCCAUUGAGAGCGCGAAAACGUGGAGGUGUUAGCUAGAGCGCGCUAAGCCAUGUAUUUUAUAAUGUUGAAAACGCUUAAAGGGCUAAAAGGUGAGAGCUGGGGAAUCGCUUGAAGUACGUUAUAGGCUGUUAGGCAAGUAGUCUAAAGGCUUGGCUAACGUGGUAGCGCAAGUCGUGCUGCUCCCGUAGUUUUGAUGGUAGUUGGAUCAACAGUGUCCGGUUAGCCCUGUUUGGCGCAAUCUUCCCCGACUGCGCGCUGUUCUCUGAACCUUCGGGUUGCUCCCGCGCUUCCCACAGUGACCUGUUGCGCUCCAGACCGUGAGCACGGCCUCCGGUACGUCGAGACCUAUCAGUAUGUGUCUCAGCAGAACUUAGAAGUCCUCGGUUUGCGUGUACGGGCUAUGUUAUCACCCAAUUUACAUGAAAUAUUGGGAUUUUAUGUAAAUUCAGGGGCUUUUGUGCAAUUGUGCACCUUGGGGCUACUGUGGACAGUGUGUGUGAGUGUGUUUGACCUCUGGACUGAUUGUCCAUGAUCCGUUAGCUUUUGCAGAAAUCGAAGAGUCGAUUUCGAUGCGUUUUUCGGCGAAAUUCGCCGAAAGAACGCGGUUUCGAUUCGAAUUUCUUCCGACGUCGUUUGGUUGCUCUGUGAGUGGUCGCUAAGCCUUGUUGGCUAGUCACCAUCAUCACUUUGUGGGUUCGGUGAUGACGGGUGAGCGACGGUGGGUUCCGGUGUCGAAUUUGACACUUCCGGGAACCCGUAUUCGUACAAUUAUCCGGCGAUAAUUGUGUCGCGGUGUUUAUCUUAUGUUUGCUGCCAAAACAUCCAAAUUGGAGUGUUUUAUGGCAGCAGGUGACUUGUAGCAUGGGUCGGUGCGUUUCGGGACAUUUCAGUGGUCCCGACGGAGUCCCGGUGCGAUUUUCGGGACUUCCGGCGAGUUACGGUAGUCAGUUUUGGGAAACUGAUCUUCGUGGGUUUGUUAGAGGGAUUAUGAUGUAGUGUUUCUUAGUUGUGGGUUAGACACUAACCCAGUGGAUCCUCCUUAGGUCCUGUUGACGUUCUUUUGCAGUCAGGUGACAGGCGCGACAGUUGUACAGGUGGGUACUUCGAUCCGACGUCGGUACAGUGGUGCACGUUCGGUGAUGGUUUCUUACCCUUGCUCCUUUGUUAUUAUCCAUGCAUACGUUAUAUAUUGAGCUUUGCACCUCUGUUGUUUACAUUGCACCCACGUUGUUUGAUUAUACUCUACUCGUUGUUUGCAUGCUUAGUAUCCUGAGUAGGAGUAGAGUAGUUCUAUCCGCAUCCGUAUCGGUUGACCUAGUUGGUCUGUUGAGCAUCCGUAUCUGUUGACCUAGUUGGUCUGUUCUGCAUUCCUCUACUCAGUUAGUUCCAUAUUGAUAUCAUGCUUAGGAGUAGAGUUGAGUUAUCGGUUCACUAUAUCUGUGAUUUGGUUGGGCGGUUCCCUUAUUUUGAUAUCUAUGACCUAUUCGGUCGAGUUGCUACAGUUCUAUCUUGACAUACGUAGCCGAUUAGUUGCUGAUGGCCUAUACGGUCGGUGUGCCCUGAGGGGCUGGAUUGUCGGCUAGUUGCCGAUGGAUGAUCUUUGAGCAUACUACAUUGAUCGCCACUGCAGGUACGCAUUUCACGAACACCAGCGGUCUGAUCCACCGCAAGAGGGUGUUCUUUUCCGGAAAAGUGGUUGGAUUGCCAACCCGUGAGCCCAGGGGCUUUAUUGCGAGGGUAUAUGCUUCUGACCCAGGGGCUUCAUUGCGAGGGUCAGGUACUGUGCUUCUGACCCAGGGGCUUCAUUGCGAGGGUCAGGUACAGGUUGAGCAGUGUGGCAUGGGCCUGAGGUCUUCGGACCAAUCGGGCAGCGAGAUUGGGUACUUUUGAACUUAUCGUCAGUUGACGCAUGCAUACAGUAGCUGUAGUGUUUAUUUUCAGUACAUCCUUAUCUGUUUAUUGUAGCUACUGUUUUAUUUACCGCAUCUAUACUUGUCAGCUCCUUACUUAUCAACAUCUUUACUUACCAGCACUUAUGUCUAUCUAGAUCUCCGUGUUGUUGUAUAGCUCUCUUCCUGAUCCGGUGAGUACUCCUUGCCUUCUUCGGCUUGCGGUACCCACUGGGAGGGGAGACAUGUUUACAUGUUCUCACCUUCCCCACCAUUUUUCAGGUAUCGCGGGCGAUGAGUAGUGGGACGAGACGUGAGGUACGUGUGUAGCGGUCGAUAGAGCUUCCGACCCAGGUUAUUUCGAUUUAGUUAUUAUCCUUGGUAUUUCUGUUGAUAUAUAGUUUAGUUAGUUUAUGUGGUUCAGUAUUUAUUUACAUUUGAAAAUGUGGAUUUCUGGAUUUUGUAAAAUAAAAGGUUUUCUACCCCUCGUGGUAGCGUUUUUAAAAGAAUAAAAGUUUCUGUGUAGGAAACAGUUUUCAAAAGAUUUUUGUGGAUUUCUGUUUAAACCUUGAAUGUAAAACUGUGAUGUGAAUGGUGAAUGUAUGAAUGUAUAGUUAUCUUUAUAUUCAUCUGGUUGUGGUUGUAUCCUGGUUGUACUGUGUAUUUGAUCGACGCCGUGCAAAUACAGGGGAGACUCUGUCCGUGUGAACAGUGGAUUCCCUGUAUUUGUGGCGGAUCUGGCAUACUCUGGGGUCAGGUUUUCAAAACAAAAAAAAAAAUUCAGACG
This 6299-nucleotide long non-coding RNA is filed under the name Ananas comosus (pineapple). RNAcentral's name for it is "long non-coding RNA (ACOM_LNC041363)". Lineage: Eukaryota; Viridiplantae; Streptophyta; Magnoliopsida; Poales; Bromeliaceae. The record is from RNAcentral.